Helicoverpa zea (corn earworm) is the source of this 988-nucleotide RNA transcript. RefSeq lists it as uncharacterized. The record is from RefSeq and is a predicted model, not a curated record. Lineage: Eukaryota; Metazoa; Arthropoda; Insecta; Lepidoptera; Noctuidae. The transcript is spliced from 3 exons.
ACUGACACGACGGCGCGCGUGUGAACAGCUUGAAUGUCCGCCUGCCCGCGACGGGCUGCACGCCGCGCAGCCCGCCAGGCAGCCCGCCGGGUUGCGCGGCGCGCGUGUGAACGUAGCAUAAGAUUGGCCGAUUGCGAUAAAAACCAUAGAAAGAAGAAUAAUAACCAUAACCUCAAAGUCGAAGUUUUGUUCAAAUGUCAUUUAGUUGUUCAAAUGUCAUUGUCAUUUACUUUGUUUGGAUUACACACAUCAUGCCGAAAAUCGUAAGUAUUUCAUAAAAUGUUUCGUUGGUCGUGUCUCUGUCUUCGUUUAGUCUUUUGUUUGAUGAUACCUAUAUCAUUUUGUUAACAGCCGAAUCUCCGUGCAUUUGGUAAACAUUGUCACAAUUGUGGAAAGUGGAUGGAGCGAAGGGCUCUUCGUAAAGAUGUGACAUGCAAUUUUUGUAAUGGCAAAAUAUUUGCAAGAGAUGGCAAACAAAAGCAAAUGUGCAGUCGAUGUGUGGAAUGCGACAACAUUAUACUCGGUCGAUAACGAAGAGUUGAAUGUUAGAACUUAUGAAAAUAUUAUUUACAACUCAUUUCGAGAAGCUGCUCAAGCAAGAGGGCUCCUUUUUGACGAUCAAGAAUGGGAAAGAUGUUUGAAUGAAGCAAUUGAUUUUAAACUUCCUCGGCAAUUAUUUCGAGUUCGAAGAUUCGAUGAUGUAAAAAUUCAAAUUAUCAAUACCACUGAACAAGGCUUCAAAGGUGAUAAAUAUUUAUCGAAAAAUGUUAUAUAUAGAGAAAUUUUGUGAAAAUCAACCUCUGAUGUAUAAUAGAGAAUAUUUUUUUAUAAGUACCUUUGCCAAAUUCUCGGAUAAGUACUCAUUGUAAAAUUACAAUUUACAUACUUCCUAAUAUUAUUCUUGAUUUAGCCAAUUUGGAUAAAGAACCACAAUUUCAUAUUUUAUUUUUAAAAUUAGUAAGUACUUAUCUACCUGUCAAAGUAAAGA